GUUGGAUGUGGGAGAACCGCUGGAGGAUACGGUGGGCCAGCACAAGGACCUCUGGGAGUUACAGGUGCUGAAGCAGCGACUGGCCCAGGAGAUAGAGGCCCUGGAGCGGAGCCAGGAGCACCUGCUGGCUGAGAGGCAGCGGCUGCGCCUUCGGCUGCAGGAGAUGG
Long non-coding RNA from Perognathus longimembris pacificus (Pacific pocket mouse), 167 nucleotides. RefSeq lists it as uncharacterized. NCBI's taxonomy places the organism in Eukaryota, Metazoa, Chordata, Mammalia, Rodentia, Heteromyidae. The record is from RefSeq and is a predicted model, not a curated record. The transcript is spliced from 3 exons.